GACGAACGCUGGCGGCGUGCUUAACACAUGCAAGUCGAACGGUAAGGCCCUUCGGGGUACACGAGUGGCGAACGGGUGAGUAACACGUGGGUGAUCUGCCCUGCACUUCGGGAUAAGCCUGGGAAACUGGGUCUAAUACCGGAUAGGACCCUGGGAUGCAUGUCCUGGGGUGGAAAGCUUUUGCGGUGUGGGAUGGGCCCGCGGCCUAUCAGCUUGUUGGUGGGGUGAUGGCCUACCAAGGCGACGAAGGGUAGCCGGCCUGAGAGGGUGACCGGCCGAACUGGGACUGAGCUACGGCGCAGACUCAUACGGGGGGCAGCGGUGGGGAAUAUUGCACAAUGGGCGCAAGCCUGAUGCAGCGACGCCGCGUGAGGGAUGACGGCCUGCGGGUUGUAAACCUCUUUCAGCACCGACGAAGCGCAAGUGACGGUAGGUGCAGAAGAAGGACCGGCCAACUACGUGCCAGCCGCCGCGGUAA
This 478-nucleotide ribosomal RNA is filed under the name uncultured bacterium. Its description in RNAcentral is "partial 16S ribosomal RNA". It matches the Rfam family "Bacterial small subunit ribosomal RNA", at positions 28 to 523 of the family's 1533-position model. The record is from RNAcentral.